GUGGGGAAUAUUGGUCAAUGGGGGAAACCCUGAACCAGCAACGCCGCGUGAAGGAAGAAGGCUUUCGGGUUGUAAACUUCUUUGACAGGGGACGAAAGCAAUGACGGUACCCUGAAAACAAGCCACGGCUAACUACGUGCCAGCAGCCGCGGUAAUACGUAGGUGGCGAGCGUUGUCCGGAUUUACUGGGUGUAAAGGGCGUGUAGGCGGGGCGGUAAGUCAGAUGUGAAAUGUAGGGGCUCAACCCCUGAAUUGCAUUUGAAACUAUCGUUCUUGAGUGAUGGAGAGGCAGGCGGAAUUCCUUGUGUAGCGGUGAAAUGCGUAGAUAUAAGGAGGAACACCAGUGGCGAAGGCGGCCUGCUGGACAUUAACUGACGCUGAGGCGCGAAAGCGUGGGGAGCAAACAGGAUUAGAUACCCUUGUAGUCC
Molecule: ribosomal RNA, 428 nt
Filed under: uncultured bacterium
Lineage: Bacteria
Description: partial 16S ribosomal RNA
Rfam family: Bacterial small subunit ribosomal RNA
Source: RNAcentral